GACGAACGCUGGCGGCGUGCCUAAUACAUGCAAGUCGAACGAGAGCGACCGGUGCUUGCACUGGUCAAUCUAGUGGCGAACGGGUGAGUAACACGUGGGUAACCUGCCCAUCAGAGGGGGAUAACAUCCGGAAACGGAUGCUAAAACCGCAUAGGUCUUCGAGCCGCAUGGCUUGAAGAGGAAAAGAGGCGCAAGCUUCUGCUGAUGGAUGGACCCGCGGUGCAUUAGCUAGUUGGUGAGGUAACGGCUCACCAAGGCCGUGAUGCAUAGCCGACCUGAGAGGGUGAUCGGCCACAUUGGGGCUGAGACACGGCCCAAACUCCUACGGGAGGCAGCAGUAGGGAAUCUUCCGCAAUGGACGCAAGUCUGACGGAGCAACGCCGCGUGAGUGAAGAAGGUGUUCGGAUCGUAAAACUCUGUUGUUAGAGAAGAACAAGUGCUAGAGUAACUGUUAGCGCCUUGACGGUAUCUAACCAGAAAGCCACGGCUAACUACGUG
RNAcentral lists this ribosomal RNA (498 nucleotides) under uncultured bacterium. RNAcentral describes it as "partial 16S ribosomal RNA". It matches the Rfam family "Bacterial small subunit ribosomal RNA", at positions 28 to 507 of the family's 1533-position model. The record is from RNAcentral.